This 253-nucleotide ribosomal RNA is filed under the name uncultured bacterium. RNAcentral's name for it is "partial 16S ribosomal RNA". It matches the Rfam family "Bacterial small subunit ribosomal RNA", at positions 524 to 776 of the family's 1533-position model. The record is from RNAcentral.
UACGUAGGGGGCAAGCGUUGUCCGGAAUUAUUGGGCGUAAAGAGCGUGUAGGCGGUUUGGUAGGUCCGCUGUGAAAACUCGAGGCUCAACCUCGAGACGCCGGUGGAAACCAUCAGGCUAGAGUCCGGAAGAGGAGAGUGGAAUUCCGGGUGGAGUGGUGAAAUGCGUAGAGAUCCGGAGGAACACCGAAGGCGAAGGCAGUGUCCUGGCGAGUGACUGACGCUGAGGUGCGAAAGCCAGGGGAGCGAACGGG